CUGAAAUGUUACGUAAAAUAAAACCUGCAAAUGGUUUACUUCUCAUCUUAACACAUGGUUAAAAUACCCUUGAAAAUGUAGAAUAUGCAGUUGGUGUUCCCGACUUAAAAAAAUGCGUUCUACUAAGAAAUAAUUUUCAUUUAAAACAGACUCUUCUAAAUCCUUAGUUCUUCUAAAAUAUAUAACAUGCAUAAUUCUGAAUCCUUCAACAACUCUUUAUCUCUAGGAACCGAUUUGGGCUGUUAAGAACAUUACAUUUUGUGAAAUUAUACGAGUUUAAUUCAGAGAUUCAAAACUAUCAGUUGUCGUAUGAGCCGUUCUGGUAGUCCUUGUAAUCAAGGUUAUGGUUUGUUCUCAGUUUCAUUACAUUUACUGAAUUUCCGG
This 384-nucleotide long non-coding RNA is filed under the name Mytilus galloprovincialis (Mediterranean mussel). The record is from RNAcentral. Lineage: Eukaryota; Metazoa; Mollusca; Bivalvia; Mytilida; Mytilidae.